UCCCUGGUAGCUCAGACGGUAAGGCAUCUGCCUGCAAUGCAGGAGACCUGGGUUCCAUCCCUUGAUCGGGAA
RNAcentral lists this transfer RNA (72 nucleotides) under Bos taurus (domestic cattle). It matches the Rfam family "tRNA". Rfam says of the family: Transfer RNA (tRNA) molecules are approximately 80 nucleotides in length. Lineage: Eukaryota; Metazoa; Chordata; Mammalia; Artiodactyla; Bovidae. RNAcentral also lists the same sequence under 4 other names. The record is from Rfam by way of RNAcentral.